This 400-nucleotide ribosomal RNA is filed under the name uncultured bacterium. RNAcentral's name for it is "bacterial SSU rRNA". It matches the Rfam family "Bacterial small subunit ribosomal RNA", at positions 356 to 773 of the family's 1533-position model. The record is from RNAcentral.
AGGGAAUCUUCCGCAAUGGACGAAAGUCUGACGGAGCAACGCCGCGUGAGUGAAGAAGGUUUUCGGAUUGUAAAGCUCUGUCAUCUGGGACGAUAAUGACGGUACCAGAUGAGGAAGCCACGGCUAACUACGUGCCAGCAGCCGCGGUAAUACGUAGGUGGCAAGCGUUGUCCGGAAUUACUGGGCGUAAAGGGUGCGCAGGCGGACAUUUAAGUGAGAUGUGAAAGACCCGGGCUUAACUUGGGCAGUGCAUUUCAAACUGGAUGUCUGGAGUGCAGGAGAGGAGAACGGAAUUCCUAGUGUAGCGGUGAAAUGCGUAGAGAUUAGGAAGAACACCAGUGGCGAAGGCGGUUCUCUGGACUGUAACUGACGCUGAGGCGCGAAAGCGUGGGGAGCAAAC